RNAcentral lists this ribosomal RNA (445 nucleotides) under uncultured eukaryote. RNAcentral's name for it is "bacterial SSU rRNA". It matches the Rfam family "Eukaryotic small subunit ribosomal RNA", at positions 1211 to 1667 of the family's 1831-position model. The record is from RNAcentral.
AAACUCACCAGGUCAGGACACGGUAAGGAUUGACGGACUGAAGGCUCUUUCUCGAUUCCGUGGAAAGUGGUGCAUGGCCGUUUUUGGUUGGUGGAUCGAUCCGUCUGGUUAAUUCCGUUAACGAACGAGACCUCGGCACUCCGAAUAGCGCGGCGGACGUCGCGGCCUCCGGGCCGUCUUCCGCACGAGCUUCUUAGAGGGACCGUCCCCCGCCGGGGAAGGAGGUGCGAGGCAACGACAGGUCUGUGAUGCCCUUAGAUGUUCUGGGCCGCACGCGCAUUACACUGACGCGUCCAACGGGUGACUCCCGACCCGAAGGGGCCGGGGAAUCCGCAAGGCGCGUCGUGAUGGGGAUUGAACGUUGCAAUUGUUGUUCACGAACGAGGAAUUCCUAGUAGGCGCGGGUCAUCAACCCGCGCCGAUUACGUCCCUGCCCUUUGUACAC